Triticum dicoccoides is the source of this 1112-nucleotide long non-coding RNA. RefSeq lists it as uncharacterized. The transcript has 3 exons. Lineage: Eukaryota; Viridiplantae; Streptophyta; Magnoliopsida; Poales; Poaceae. The record is from RefSeq and is a predicted model, not a curated record.
CAUCUCCCCCCCGGGCUGCUAGGUUUUUCGGCCGGCAGCCGCUCGAGCCCAGCCCCGGCAGCAACCUCCCGGUGCGUCUCAUACACCAUCUGUCGCCCCGUCCAGGUCCUCUGGGCGGCUCCCCGCGGCAGGGAGGUGCGGCACCUCACGCCGCCCAUGUUCCUCUCUUGCUUUCACGUUCUCACCAUCACGCCACCGAUCCCCUCCCCUCCUCCACCCAGCGGCCGAUCCGACCUCACUUCUCCUCCUCAUGGAUGCCUCGCCUGCGUUGCCUCACCUCUCGCGGCGCCUCUUGGCUCAUCCGCUGGGGAACUCCAUAACUCUCUCGGCCCCUCCUUCUCCUGCCUCCUUGGCGCGCACCAACCAACCACAUGCUUCCCCUAGCGGACCACAUUAGAUUAACCCGGACUUUGGUCGGUGUUUUUCUUUUCUUUUCUUUUCUUUUCUUUUCACGGCUUUCUUGAUCUUUGCUACUCGGUGUCAGAGCAUCGACGGUCAGCACAACAGUACGGAGAUCCAAAGCAUUAUUUUAUGUCUGAACUUUUCACGGCUCAAGUCACAUAGGAAAGGUCAUACCGGUUUUGAGUUCUCUCCUGUGAAAUCUUUUAUUUGGAUCAAGUUGCUUUUGGACUUUUAGGAGGAAUUCGUAUGUAGGUUUAUGUUCCCUUGUGGAUGAAAAGAUGGUCAGAUGAAGAGGUUUCCUCUCCUGGUAUUGUUUGGAUAGAGAAAGAGAUCUCUGUUUGCAUUAGUAUUGGUGGCAUCCCUGUCCGAGUUCUAUUAUCAGGAGUCAUUGAGCAAGAUGAUUAUUGACAAGAACUUAUGUUUUCAGUUGUCUUUAACAAGAUACGAAGAAGAAAAGGCUGAAGCUAGAUGUUUGCGUUUGAGUUAUUUGCAAUAUAUGUAGACAAUAUAUGUAGGCUAAAGCUAGGUCCGGUUCAUGUACCUUAGAUUGGAAUUGCAGUUUCCUUCUGUCAAACCUGUAGAUGCCGUGCCUGAAGGUUUUCCGCUGUAAUUUACAGGCUUGAGAUCUUUCAGGUCAAGUUUCAACUGGUCGAUUUGGGUACAGAAUUCUUGAGGUUGAUCAUUCUGUUGAAUGCAUUGCUGAAUGAGGA